This 525-nucleotide ribosomal RNA is filed under the name uncultured bacterium. Its description in RNAcentral is "bacterial SSU rRNA". It matches the Rfam family "Bacterial small subunit ribosomal RNA", at positions 396 to 911 of the family's 1533-position model. The record is from RNAcentral.
GCCGCGUGAGCGAUGAAGGCCUUCGGGUCGUAAAGCUCUGUCAGGUGGGAAGAAACUUCCGUUGACUAAUAAUUGACGGAACUGACGGUACCACCAGAGGAAGCACCGGCUAACUCCGUGCCAGCAGCCGCGGUAACACGGAGGGUGCAAGCGUUGUUCGGAAUCACUGGGCGUAAAGGACGCGCAGGCGGUUCGGUAAGUCAGAAGUGAAAUCCGUCGGCUCAACCGACGAACGGCUUCUGAUACUGCUGGACUUGAGUACGGGAGAGGAAAGCGGAAUUCCCAGUGUAGAGGUGAAAUUCGUAGAUAUUGGGAAGAACACCGGUGGCGAAGGCGGCUUUCUGGACCGAUACUGACGCUGAGGCGUGAAAGCGUGGGGAGCAAACAGGAUUAGAUACCCUGGUAGUCCACGCUGUAAACGGUGAGUACUAGGUGUAGGGGGUACCGACCCCCCCUGUGCCGCAGCUAACGCAAUAAGUACUCCGCCUGGGAACUACGGCCGCAAGGCUAAAACUCAAAGGAAUU